Molecule: ribosomal RNA, 347 nt
Filed under: uncultured bacterium
Lineage: Bacteria
Description: partial 16S ribosomal RNA
Rfam family: Bacterial small subunit ribosomal RNA
Source: RNAcentral
CCUACGGGAGGCAGCAGUGAGGAAUAUUGGUCAAUGGGCGGAAGCCUGAACCAGCCAAGUAGCGUGCAGGAUGACGGCCCUACGGGUUGUAAAAUGCUGUUAUACGGGAAUAACGCGCCGUACGUGGAGGGCUUUGCAUGUACCGUAUGAAUAAGGACCGGCUAAUUCCGUGCCAGCAGCCGCGGUAAUACGGAAGGUCCGGGCGUUAUCCGGCUUUAUUGGGGUUAAAGGGAGCGUCGGCCGCAUGUCAAGCGUGCUGUGCAAUGUCCGGGCUCAACCCGGGCCUGGCAGCGCGGACUGGCGUGCUUUAGUCCGCGGCCCGCAGGCGGACUUCGUCGUGUAGCGGU